AUUGAACGCUGGCGGCAUACCUUACACAUGCAAAUCGAACGGUAACAGGUCUUCGGAUGCUGACGAGUGGCGAACGGGUGAGUAAUACAUCGGAACGUGCCUAGUAGUGGGGGAUAACUACUCGAAAGAGUGGCUAAUACCGCAUGAGAUCUACGGAUGAAAGCAGGGGAUCGCAAGACCUUGUGCUACUAGAGCGGCCGAUGGCAGAUUAGGUAGUUGGUGGGAUAAAAGCUUACCAAGCCGACGAUCUGUAGCUGGUCUGAGAGGACGAUCAGCCACACGGGGACUGAGACACGGCCCAGACUCCUACGGGAGGCAGCAGUGGGGAAUUUUGGACAAUGGGCGAAAGCCUGAUCCAGCAAUGCCGCGUGCAGGAUGAAGGCCUUCGGGUUGUAAACUGCUUUUGUACGGAACGAAAAGCCCCGGGUUAAUACCCUGGGGUCAUGACGGUACCGUAAGAAUAAGCACCGGCUAACUACGUGCCAGCCGCCGCGGUAA
This 498-nucleotide ribosomal RNA is filed under the name uncultured bacterium. Its description in RNAcentral is "partial 16S ribosomal RNA". It matches the Rfam family "Bacterial small subunit ribosomal RNA", at positions 30 to 523 of the family's 1533-position model. The record is from RNAcentral.